GGCAUGGUGGCUCAGUGGUUAGAGCGACCGUCUCAUGAACGGAAGGUCGUGGGUUCGAACCCCGGCCGAGUCA
Molecule: non-coding RNA, 73 nt
Organism: Strongylocentrotus purpuratus (purple sea urchin)
Lineage: Eukaryota; Metazoa; Echinodermata; Echinoidea; Camarodonta; Strongylocentrotidae
Source: Rfam